RNAcentral lists this ribosomal RNA (480 nucleotides) under uncultured bacterium. Its description in RNAcentral is "bacterial SSU rRNA". It matches the Rfam family "Bacterial small subunit ribosomal RNA", at positions 35 to 507 of the family's 1533-position model. The record is from RNAcentral.
GCUGGCGGCAGGCCUAACACAUGCAAGUCGAGCGGUAACAUUUCUAGCUUGCUAGAAGAUGACGAGCGGCGACGGGUGAGUAACGCGUAGAAAUCUACCUAGUAGUGGGGGAUAGCCCAGAGAAAUUUGGAUUAAUACCGCAUACGCCCUACGGGGGAAAGCGGGGGAUCUUCGGACCUCGUGCUAUUAGAUGAGUCUGCGUCGGAUUAGCUUGUUGGUGAGGUAAUGGCUCACCAAGGCGACGAUCCGUAGCUGGUCUGAGAGGAUGACCAGCCACACUGGAACUGAGACACGGUCCAGACUCCUACGGGAGGCAGCAGUGGGGAAUAUUGCACAAUGGGCGCAAGCCUGAUGCAGCCAUGCCGCGUGUGUGAAGAAGGCCUUAGGGUUGUAAAGCACUUUCAGCAGUGAGGAAAGGGGUGUCGUUAAUAGCGCCAUCCUGUGACGUUAACUGCAGAAGAAGGACCGGCUAACUCCGUG